AGGAUUUUAAGCAAAAAUAGAGACGGGCUGCCUGUUCACUCCAAUCACUAAAAGCCCCUUACAAUGAGUUGAACUUGGACUAAAAGGAUAUUAGAUUCUGUUACCUAAUUACUGCUUGUCUUUUAGAGUCAUCAUGAGGAAGUCCAUCGUCAAGAACUUGGGAGGUUUCAGUUGCAGUGGAUUAUAAGAGGCACUGGAACAGCUGAUAUACUGAGGGACCUCCCACCUGAACGGGACAAUUGAACUUUGCUUUGGUAAGGGAUGACUUGCCGGAAGAUGAAAAGCCUUGUGGUGGAACAUGAGUGGAGCUCUUCACAGCUCCCCAGGCAUUGCUGAUGCAGCAUGGGGCAGACGGUGUGGUACAGGGAUGACAUAAGAGACAUCUUGGAAGAGGCAAAGCUUGAGACAGGUCUUCAAGGAUUGGCACCAUCUGGACAGGUUGAAGAGGAGUAGGAGGAGACUUUCAGAUGUGGAGAAUGGCAUGCACAAAAGCACGGAGCAACACUUUAUGCCAGUUGGAUUAUGGUCCAGUGGGAGAAAGAUCAAUUAAGGCGAAACCACAGUAGAGAAAGCACUGGAGAACAACAUUCAUUC
Molecule: long non-coding RNA, 594 nt
Organism: Pongo pygmaeus (Bornean orangutan)
Lineage: Eukaryota; Metazoa; Chordata; Mammalia; Primates; Hominidae
Exons: 4
Source: RefSeq, a predicted model, not a curated record